This 1092-nucleotide long non-coding RNA is filed under the name Mustela putorius furo (domestic ferret). RNAcentral describes it as "lncRNA (ENSMPUG00000028965.1)". The record is from RNAcentral. Lineage: Eukaryota; Metazoa; Chordata; Mammalia; Carnivora; Mustelidae.
GGUGAAAGUUCAUUAUCCUGUGUCAAAUGCAAGUGCAACUUGCCCCAAAUCAGCACCAUUAUGGCAUCACAGUUUUUUCCUCAUCCCAUGAUCACAUAAAUGGCAGAUUGACUUCUGGAACCAGGACCUGGUAGAUACUAGAGUGGACCCCAUAAAUUGAAAUCCCAGAGAUGCAGAAAUUCAAUCUCCCAACUCCAGGGUCUGCAAAAUACUUAAAGGAUAUGAAAGAAAAACAAAUACUUUUUCAAAAAGGCAUCAACUGACCUGCUACUCUGACAAACAACAUUUUCUCCGACCUUUCAAAUUCACGUGUUCUACAUAUGAAAUGAAAAGUAUUCUUCAAAGGACCUCAGAAGAACUACUGCACAAAAGGAAGUAUUGCUUCAACUGGAAUUUUUAUAAGAUCAAUGUAGGGAAAGAAAAAUAUCCCUUUUGUCUCUACUAUGUACAAACCUUAUCUGUUAAGGAUAUAGUGUAAGUAGGGAAUUGUAUUUUCAAAAGAGCUAAUGCAUGUUGGAAAUAUAAGUGAAGAAGAGCUUAACAGUAAUUUAGAAUGGGCUUCUGUGUCCUACAGAAUGUUUAUUGUGAGCAAACUUCCUUAAGUGUGGUUGAUACAUGUUAUAUUUAACAAAAUUAUAUUGCCUCCACUAGAAGAAGUCAAGAAAGAACCACAAAAUUCCAGUGCUGUAGGUGGCCCACUUAUUUGGCAUCCACACCUCCCACACUACAGCUCUGUUACGUUCCUGGAGCUAGGAAGGGGUUCCAGGUAUGUGGGUGCUUUGGAUAAGAUCUCCAGUUUUCUAGAUACCUUGUCACUACUGUAAUGAGUUAGAAAGAUUCUUAGAGUUCUGCAAGUUUCCAGUGAGUUGCACACAAACCCCUUCCUCAAUCUCAAAUAACCACCUCUAAAACCAUCUAUGUAACAUGAAAUCCUCUGUUUAACCUUUAUGUGAAUCCCAUCAAGAUUAUCCCCAGUUGUCUAGGCAUCAAAGGUGCUGACCCCAUCUCCCCACACUCAACUUGCGACAUCCUUCCAAUGUACUUUCUACAAUUUUUAAUGAAUAAGCAUUAAAGUCUUGAACCUUCCAACUC